GACGAACGCUGGCGGCGUGCUUAACACAUGCAAGUCGAACGGAAAGGCCCUGCUUUUGUGGGGUGCUCGAGUGGCGAAUGGGUGAGUAACACGUGAGUAACCUGCCGCUGACUUUGGGAUAACUUCAGGAAACUGGGGCUAAUACCGGAUAGGAGCUCCUGCUGCUUGGUGGGGGUUGGAAGUUUCCGGCGGUUGGGGAUGGACCCGCGGCUUAUCAGCUUGUUGGUGGGGUGGUGGCAUACCAAGGCUUUGACGGGUAGCCGGCCUGAGAGGGUGACCGGCCACAUUGGGACUGAGAUACGGCCCAGACUCCUACGGGAGGCAGCAGUGGGGAAUAUUGCACAAUGGGCGGAAGCCUGAUGCAGCGACGCCGCGUGCGGGAUGACGGCCUUCGGGUUGUAAACCGCUUUCGGCUGUGACGAAGCGUGAGUGACGGUAAUGGGUGAAGAAGCACCGGCUAACUACGUG
Molecule: ribosomal RNA, 468 nt
Filed under: uncultured bacterium
Lineage: Bacteria
Description: partial 16S ribosomal RNA
Rfam family: Bacterial small subunit ribosomal RNA
Source: RNAcentral